UUCCAGGUACACAGGACUAUUCAAUUCUACAGCUGCUUCCCACCCUUCCCCUCCAUGGAUGCUCCACGUAACUCUACCAAUUAAGGUACUUUGGUGGCAAGUGGUUUUCCUAUGGUAAAAGGUCUCCUGAAGGACACCUUGCUGGGAAGGUCUUCUCUCUGACAUCCACUCAUGAAGCUCUACGACUUCCUAAGGUCCUUUGAUAUAGGCUGCUGUCACCAAAUUCCAACACCAGUGAGAAGAACUGAGCUAUGCUGGAGACGCAUUUAUCACCUGAAAUCUCUUGCCACCAGCACCUGAGCUGAACAAUUACACUCUUAAUAACAACUUCCAGCCAUCACCUCUGGUCACUCCUUCCCACCUUCGCUCUCCAUGGGUGUGCAGAGUUACAGCUGUGAUGGAAAGCAGUCCUGCAUGGAAACAGAAGGGAAGGGCGGAUGGGCUCUGAUUGGAAAAGCAUACACACAUGUGCAUGGAGCAGGCAGGGAGGUGAUAAAACGCACCUAUCUGUGGGGAAGGAAGGACUACAUUAAGCACAAAGAGAGAGGGAAAGAAGAAAAACACAGCUAUUGACCCAGUCUCCACCAAGCCUGCAGCUAUAGAAAGAGCUGCCUCCUGUCCAUGCCAGACAUGUGCAGCACCUUCUGCCUCGCUGAGCGCUUUUCAUUUUGGAAAAAUUAACAGAAAAAUAAUGAUAAUGAAAACCCUCUGUGGCUUUCUCAGCUCCGCUGCAAGGAAUGGGAUCCAGACAAACUGCUGGAGGGGAGGAAGGCUUUUGGAUUCUGCGUUUUAUUUUAUUAGGUGUAAGUGAGUUAUUUUGAUUACGUUGGCAAGAAGUGGGAAUAAAAAAGCCUUAUGUAGCA
This is a long non-coding RNA of Gallus gallus (chicken), 863 nucleotides long. The record is from Ensembl. Lineage: Eukaryota; Metazoa; Chordata; Aves; Galliformes; Phasianidae.